Molecule: long non-coding RNA, 1026 nt
Filed under: Homo sapiens (human)
Lineage: Eukaryota; Metazoa; Chordata; Mammalia; Primates; Hominidae
Description: non-protein coding LINC02102:13
Source: RNAcentral
AUCCGAGGGUCCGUGCAGCAGGUCACGCUGCGCUCUCUGGGGUCCGCGCGUCGGCCCACGUGCUCCCUGCACCUCGCGGGGUGAGCGGCCAGCGUGCCGUGCCGGGUGGCUGGCUCCGCCGCUCCGGAGCCGGGAAGGACACGCGGCAGAGUCCUGCUCCCUAGCGGGUCUGCUUACAGGCGUUUGGUUUGCUUUUUAAAAUGAUUUUCUAUGCGAAAAGUGAAGUGAAAACUUCCAAGUUAAUUCCCUGGGCAAAAUGGGCAGUGCUAGCCGAGGAACGGCUGGUGGGCGGCGCGUCCGGCCCCCGGCUUCGGUUUUUCCAGCUGCACCGAGCGGGCAGGAGUCAGUGGGAAACCGCCCGCCAUCCACAGCCUGCCGUUUGCCAUCCCGGUGUCCCGAGCGCGAUGGAAGCCGGGUUGACAGUGGCACUGUUUGGAAUACAGCGCCAACCACACAUCCUGUGAGGUCCAAAGCAAACGCCAGUGUCGUUGAUCAUCGCGGUGCCCCGCGAGCCUGGGCGACGUGAGGCCCCGCGGCUGCCGCCCUGUCUUCAGGCGGAGUCCCCGCAAAUGCACUCCCGGGCCAGGGCCCUGAAGCUGCCUUAGCCCAGUGGCGCCCGGGCUCCAAGCCUUUUAAGUAGAACGGGACCUGGCCUUCGUACAGGCGUGUUGUAAAUGCUACCCCCUCGUCUCCAGCACAGAUGAGUAGACAUUACUAAGCACUUGACCCUUCAAACAUCGCCCCAACAGGAAAGGUCCGUGUGUUGCAUACAAAGGCUUUGGGGCAAGUGGUGGUGGUUAGUAAUGAAAAUGAAUGUUUCAGACGUUUUCAAAUACCUUCAUAUUGUACACGUGGAAAUCAUGACCAAGGAUUAGAACGUGCAUUCAGUAAACUACAGAAAAUCACACACAAGUCAAACGGCCGUUAUUCUGGAGCUGUUUGCUUCCAAUGGCUCAGUCCAAAAUCCUUGGUCAUGCCUGGCUCCUCUCUCUGUCCACAAUGAACACAUCCUCUUGGCUCCACUGC